Molecule: non-coding RNA, 110 nt
Filed under: Oerskovia sp. Root918
Lineage: Bacteria; Bacillati; Actinomycetota; Actinomycetes; Micrococcales; Cellulomonadaceae
Also listed under: 1 other name
Description: TPP riboswitch aptamer (THI element)
Rfam family: TPP riboswitch aptamer (THI element)
About the family: Vitamin B(1) in its active form thiamin pyrophosphate (TPP) is an essential coenzyme that is synthesised by coupling of pyrimidine and thiazole moieties in bacteria. The previously detected thiamin-regulatory element, thi box was extended, resulting in a new, highly conserved RNA secondary structure, the THI element, which is widely distributed in eubacteria and also occurs in some archaea.
Source: Rfam by way of RNAcentral
CCACACACCCACGGGAGCUCGCAGCAGCGAGCUGAGAGGGCGGCUCAGCGCCGCCGACCGUUCGAACCUGUUCGGAUCAUGCCGACGUAGGGAGAGAGCCAUGAGCUCUG